Molecule: ribosomal RNA, 748 nt
Filed under: Enterococcus hirae
Lineage: Bacteria; Bacillati; Bacillota; Bacilli; Lactobacillales; Enterococcaceae
Description: bacterial SSU rRNA
Rfam family: Bacterial small subunit ribosomal RNA
Source: RNAcentral
ACAGGAUUAGAUACCCUGGUAGUCCACGCCGUAAACGAUGAGUGCUAAGUGUUGGAGGGUUUCCGCCCUUCAGUGCUGCAGCUAACGCAUUAAGCACUCCGCCUGGGGAGUACGACCGCAAGGUUGAAACUCAAAGGAAUUGACGGGGGCCCGCACAAGCGGUGGAGCAUGUGGUUUAAUUCGAAGCAACGCGAAGAACCUUACCAGGUCUUGACAUCCUUUGACCACUCUAGAGAUAGAGCUUCCCCUUCGGGGGCAAAGUGACAGGUGGUGCAUGGUUGUCGUCAGCUCGUGUCGUGAGAUGUUGGGUUAAGUCCCGCAACGAGCGCAACCCUUAUUGUUAGUUGCCAUCAUUUAGUUGGGCACUCUAGCAAGACUGCCGGUGACAAACCGGAGGAAGGUGGGGAUGACGUCAAAUCAUCAUGCCCCUUAUGACCUGGGCUACACACGUGCUACAAUGGGAAGUACAACGAGUCGCAAAGUCGCGAGGCUAAGCUAAUCUCUUAAAGCUUCUCUCAGUUCGGAUUGUAGGCUGCAACUCGCCUACAUGAAGCCGGAAUCGCUAGUAAUCGCGGAUCAGCACGCCGCGGUGAAUACGUUCCCGGGCCUUGUACACACCGCCCGUCACACCACGAGAGUUUGUAACACCCGAAGUCGGUGAGGUAACCUUUUGGAGCCAGCCGCCUAAGGUGGGAUAGAUGAUUGGGGUGAAGUCGUAACAAGGUAGCCGUAUCGGAAGGUGCGGCUG